Molecule: long non-coding RNA, 596 nt
Filed under: Mytilus galloprovincialis (Mediterranean mussel)
Lineage: Eukaryota; Metazoa; Mollusca; Bivalvia; Mytilida; Mytilidae
Source: RNAcentral
UAUAGUUUUAUAUUACGGAUUACAAAUGUGUCGAGGUUUCUGAUUGGAUAACAACACCGAGAUGUCAGUAUAUAUUCAGGAAACUGCCGGGGUAUAUACGACGUUUUUAUCCCCAAUUGGAACCUCAAAAACGUCAUCAUAACACCGGUUACUAUGUGACGUAGUCAUAAGCUAUCAGACUGUCAGAGGUUCACAGAGGGAAAAUAAUGACGUGCUUCAGUCAAUAAUACAUUUUUGAUACAAAAUCACGCAAUUAACACUUUUAAUACUUUAAUUUGAUGUUAAAAGUGUUAUUAUAAAUUAUUACGUACACGAUAAAAUUAUGUUCACAGCAAAUUAGAAAAUCCUUCACAUAUGCCGAACAUAUCAGGUUGGGUUUUUCAAUAUAUAUGUGUUGUCAACAAAUACCUGCACUGGAAAAUAACAUUAAGUCAGGGGUAAUCCGUAAUAUAUGUGUAAUUCAGGUCUCAGAAAGGGUAUAUACUGUGACAUUCCCGGCUGAGGGCUUAUAUCCCCUUCGCCUUCGGCUCAGGGGAUAUAAACUCUAAGCCGGGAAUGUCACAGUAUAUACCCUGUCUGAGACCUGAAUAACAUAU